CCUAGGCAGACUGCCUACCACGGCUGACGAGCUCCACCUGCCCGGGUUUAUUGUUCGGAGUUUGCUCUCCUAGGCAGACUGCCUACCACGGCUGACGAGCUCCACCUGCCCGGGUUUAUUGUUCGGAGUUUGCUCUCCUAGGUGUAUUACCUAUGACGGCUCACGAGCCCAACCUGCCCGGGUUUAUUGUUCGGAGUUUGCUCUCCUAGGUGUAUUACCUAUGACGGCUCACGAGCCCAACCUGCCCGGGUUUAUUGUUCGGAGUUUGCUCUCCUAGGUGAAUUGCCUACCACGGCUAACGAACCUCACCUGCCCGGGUUUGUAAUCGGAGUUUGCUCUCCUAGAUGAAUUGCUUUCGCUAACGACCUCCACCUGCCCGGGUUUGUAAUCGGAGUUUGCUCUCCUAGGUGAACUGCUCACGCUAACGACCUCCACCUGCCCGGUUUUGUAAUCGGAGUUUGCUCUCCUAGAUGAACUGCUUUCGCUAACGACC
Molecule: long non-coding RNA, 493 nt
Organism: Eriocheir sinensis (Chinese mitten crab)
Lineage: Eukaryota; Metazoa; Arthropoda; Malacostraca; Decapoda; Varunidae
Exons: 3
Source: RefSeq, a predicted model, not a curated record